CAGCCGCCACGGGAAUACGUAGGGUGCGAGCGUUAAUCGGAAUUACUGGGCGUAAAGCGUGUGCAGGCGGUUCGUUAAGACAGAUGUGAAAUCCCCGGGCUUAACCUGGGAACUGCAUUUGUGACUGGCGAGCUAGAGUAUGGCAGAGGGGGGUAGAAUUCCACGUGUAGCAGUGAAAUGCGUAGAGAUGUGGAGAAAUACCGAUGGCGAAGGCAGCCCCCUGGGCCAAUACUGACGCUCAUGCACGAAAGCGUGGGGAGCAAACAGGAUUAGAUACCCCGGUAGUCCCUGUCUCUUAUAC
This 301-nucleotide ribosomal RNA is filed under the name uncultured bacterium. RNAcentral describes it as "partial 16S ribosomal RNA". It matches the Rfam family "Bacterial small subunit ribosomal RNA", at positions 509 to 807 of the family's 1533-position model. The record is from RNAcentral.